Molecule: ribosomal RNA, 457 nt
Filed under: uncultured bacterium
Lineage: Bacteria
Description: partial 16S ribosomal RNA
Rfam family: Bacterial small subunit ribosomal RNA
Source: RNAcentral
GAUGAACGCUGGCGGCGUGCCUAAUACAUGCAAGUCGAGCGGUAAGGCCCUUCGGGGUACACGAGCGGCAGACGGGUGAGUAACGCGUAAGAAUCUACCCCAAACUGAGGGAUAAGCACCAGAAAUGGUGUCUAAUACCGCAUGUGCUCUACGGAGUAAAGCUACGGCGGUUUGGGAAGAGCUUGCGUAUGAUUAGCUAGUUGGUAAGGUAAUGGCUUACCAAGGCGACGAUCAUUAGCUGGUCUGAGAGGAUGAUCAGCCACACUGAGACUGAGACACGGCCCAGACUCCUACGGGAGGCAGCAGUAGGGAAUUUUCCACAAUGGGGGCAACCCUGAUGGAGCAACGCCGCGUGCAGGAUGAAGGCCUUCGGGUUGUAAACUGCUUUUGUCUGUGACGAAUAUGACGGUAGCAGACGAAUAAGGAUCGGCUAACUACGUGCCAGCAGCCGCCGUAA